UACAGAGGUGCCGAGCGUUAGGCGGAAUCACUGGGCUUAAAGUGUGUGUAGGCGGAUGCCUAAGUACCUUGUGAAAUCCCAUAGCUCAACUAUGGAACUGCUUGGUAUACUGGGUGUCUUGAGCCACUUAGGGGUUACCGGAACAAAUGGUGGAGCGGUGAAAUGCGUAGAUAUCAUUUGGAACGCCAAUGGUGAAAACAGGUAACUGGGAGUGUGCUGACGCUGAGACACGAAAGCCAGGGGAGCGAACGGG
RNAcentral lists this ribosomal RNA (253 nucleotides) under uncultured bacterium. RNAcentral's name for it is "partial 16S ribosomal RNA". It matches the Rfam family "Bacterial small subunit ribosomal RNA", at positions 524 to 776 of the family's 1533-position model. The record is from RNAcentral.